UGAUUUCAUGUAGUCACAAGCUAGACUGUCAAGGCUAGUUCUCUUUAAAUAAAUAGAGAAAUAAAUUUGUCAUAAUGCCUGCUCACCCACAUGUGGACACAGCUUAGCUUAGUCUUUACAUAGACAAGAUCCCUAUAUAAAUAAUACCUUAAAGCCAGGACAUUCCUCCUCUUGCUUGCUUACCCUACUCUGUACCCAGGCUGGAGCCCAGUGGCCGAUCUUGGCUCACUGCAACCUUCACCUCUCAGGUUUAAGCAAUUUUCUGCCUCGGCCUCCUGAGUAGCUGGGAUUACAAGUAUGCACCACCAUGCCUGGCUAUUUUUAUUUUUAUUUUUAGUAGAGACGGAGUUUCGCCAUGUUGGCCAGGCUGGUCUCAAACUCCUGGCCUCAAGUGAUCUAUUCACCUUGGCCUCCCAAAGUACUGAGAUUACAUUUUUACUUUUACCAGUCAGAGAAGAGAACAAGUUAUAUUUCCAAAUCCUGCAAGUCUUGAAUUUCUAAACUGCUUUUCUCUUUCAUCUCAUUUUGAAAAUGAGCUGAUUCUUCCUUGAACUUAACUCUUUCUUGGAAGGUAUCUUAUCAAAUGCAGCUAAUACCAAAAAGCUCAUUUAACAACAUUCUGUUUAAAAGUUCCUUUUCCCAGAGCUACAGUUUCAUUACAUACAAUUAUGUGUUUUUUAAAUUAUUGCAAGUGACAUAUUUACCAAAUAUUUUGCCAUUGCAUUAUGUCUGUUGCCAUUUCUCUAGUAACUGUUUACUAUCUAUCUACAGCCUGAUCACAAGCCAAUAUUACAUGUGUCAGUUUUUUUGUCGAUAUUUGCUUAUUUGUUAUGUGUUAUGUCAGGACCCACUUAUUGUAUCAAUUUCUCUGUUAAUCUUCUUUAUUGGAUAACAAACAUGCUUAAUGUAGCUUAUUCUGGAGCUCUUGCAGCAGACGCCUAUGUGUCCAGGCAAAGAGCAGAGGCAAGAAUAUAAGCAAAACCACAGGAUCAUAUUCAUAGCUGCUAAUACAUUCAGAAUGUUUUAGUUUUGUGAAAGACCCAACUCUUAAACUUAUUUAUGUAUUUUAUCAAUUUUUCUACUUUCGAAUUUACUAAAUUUGGCUUUAACUCUGUUAUGUUCUUCUUUUCCUGCUAUUGAUUUGUUUGUUUUUCUAUUUCUGACUCCUUAAAUUAAUGCUCAAUUCAUUUUCCUUUCUUCCUUACCUUCUUUCUUACCUUUUUUUUCUUUGUUACUGAGGACGUGAUCUUACCAGUCACAAAGUGGUAUUGUAUUCAGCCUCUUUCCUAGAGUUGCUGACUCAGUGUCAGGAACUUUCCCCAGAUGCCCUUUUAUUUCAGCUUUCUCUGAAAGUUACUUUCUGUUGUCUGUUGGCUUAUUGACUUAUGGUUUGACGUCCAGCUGCUUUCAAAUUUAAACAGUUCCAUUGCAGGAAAAAAAAAAAAAAAAAAAAA
RNAcentral lists this long non-coding RNA (1454 nucleotides) under Macaca fascicularis (crab-eating macaque). RNAcentral describes it as "lncRNA (ENSMFAG00000058419.1)". The record is from RNAcentral. Lineage: Eukaryota; Metazoa; Chordata; Mammalia; Primates; Cercopithecidae.